CCAAGGGACCCCACGACGCACGCAGCUGCUGUCCACGGGCAACGGCCUCGGCGAGCUUCAUACCCGCCUCCUGGGGCCACCGCGCUCCAGGUCCCCCUGACUGGCCAUGCCCACCCGGCAGCUGCUGCACCGCUCCCUGGCCUGUCUUCCACCGGGGUUUCUGUCUCGCUGCUUAGCUUAUGCGAUCCAGGAGGCUCCAAGCUCCUCAGUGUUGGGCAGGACUCUCAGAUGGAGCCAGCACUGGGCACUGGGAACUCCAAGAGGCUCGGCCAUUCCGGACAGCUAAGAUCUGUCAUCCAGGGUGCAACCUGACCCUCCUCCAUCACCACCCCGGCGAGAAAGAAGUUCCCCCCAUGAGCUCCGUUCCAUCCAGAGUACCUAGAUGCCGGCCCAAAGAAGACUGAGCGAGCCCUGGGGAGGAGGAAGGGACAGCCGAAGAUGGAGGACGGCCAAAAUAGUGACCCAAGCAUAGAAGCGCCCAUCACAUGCAGGCAAUGGAGUGUGCCAUCAGCAUCGUCCGGGGAAGCGACCCGAUGCUUUUUCCUUGCUCUGGGGGCCUGGGCCUCUGCAGGAAACCUGCAUUCCUUCCAACCACCCAGGAGCCACGGGGAGUAAGAAGGCGAAGUUGUCCCCUGUGAGCUCAGGCGUCAGAAGUCGUGCCUUCCCCAGCUCAUGGAGCCGGCCCUGCUGGGGGGCUCCUGUCUCUUGUUGUUGUUGUUGUUGUUGUUGUUGUUUUUGACAGGCAGAGUUAGAUAGUGAGAGAGAGAGAGAGAGAGAGAGAAAGGUCUUCCUUCCGUUGGUUCACCCCCAAAGUGGCUGCUAUGGCAGGCGCACUGCGCUGAUCCAAAGCCAGGAGCCAGGUGCUUCUCCUGGUCUCCCAUGGGGUGCAGGGCCCAAGCACUUGGGCCAUCCUCCAUUGCACUCCUGGGCCACAGCAGAGAACUGGACUGGAAGAGGAGCAACCAGGACAGAAUCCAGUGCCCCAACUGGGACUAGAACCCAGGGUGCCGGUGCCACAGGCGGAGGAUUAGCCUAGUGAGCCGCGGCACCAGCCGCUCCUGCCUCUUUAGGAGAGUGGUGCAGGGACUUUGGGAUCCAGCCACAAUGGGUUCAGAAAGUUUAGCCAAGGAAAAGUUCCUGAAGGCCAUUGGCCUGGUUCUCCAACCCCACUGAAGACAGAGGAGAGGAAGGGAGGAAGGCUACAGAUGUGCUGUCAAACAAAAUCUCCACCCACUCCUGCCAGAUGCGGGCUCUGUUAACAAAAUUCCUCUGCCCCUGUACCAACCCCACGCCAUAUGCUGAUCCUGAAAUGAUGGGAUGAGACACUCAAUCCUUAUUUUUUUUUUCUUUUUGCUGUUCUGGCCAUUUCUUUCUUGAAGUUCAGUAUUUUUUUUUUUAAGAAUUCCACUUUCAAGUGGAAAUAGAGCCCAUUUGAAUUCUGGUCCUUUCACUACAAGUCUUUACUCUGAUCUUCAAAGUAUCUUACUGUCGGGAGAAAUUAAAACUCGGAUGUGUUCUGAUGGACAACCGAAGACCAGAGGAGAAAGCAGCUGUUUCCGUUUCCUCCAAGUCUACCACCCGCAGGACUGAGUCCUCCACCCCUAUGGAUAUGGAGUCCCUCUCUUUUCCUUACAGAUUCCUUGAGUCGCUGCCACAAAUUCCCGUCUUCACCAGUGAGCUCAGCACGGCCUCUGUGGUCACUGUCACCAGUGCAGCCAGACUCUGUGGACUCGGCCAAGGGUGAUUUGAAAAUCCUCGGAAGAUGGCUUCUACUUCACCCUCAGGCAUGAGCUCUCUGAAGGCGUCUGCUCUGAGCCUGGAACUUCUGACCUGGAACACGUGCGGCCUCCUCUCAGCCGGUCCUCAGAAUAAAGCACAGAUCCGACGUCCAUUAGAUACAGCGAGGCGUAAUUGGUGGUGGCCAUAUCGGUCCUGUGGUUGUUUGCGGAGAAGCUACUCUUCCCCUCCCUCGUCCUUCUGCGUCUGCCUGCAGGACGAUGAGCCCCCCUCGUGCCAGCACCUGAAAGGGUAGGCACGUGUCGGAUGGAAUGUCAGGGGCUGUGGCCAGGCCCCUUAUUGUAGAUAAGGGAAAACCAGGAAGCUUAGACUAAAUCAAAAACAAAAAUUAAAGAAAGAAAACUCAUCGUGGAAGAAAAGAGACAGAAAGUCAAGUCACUUGCCCCCAACCAUUCAGCUUUUCCCACGAAAAGGUCGUGCUGUGCUGCUAAGGGCUCAGCCUGGUACUGCCGGAUUUUAAAAGUGAACCAGGAGGUCGCGGGCUGUUCAAAGAUGGGUGCAUCCCGGCCACCACACCGUUUUGUGACAAGAAGAAAGCAGGGGUUCCAGCCUCGGCCGCAUCAGCCCCUAAUACAUCUGCCCCGAGUCGUGGGUGACUUCCGCCAAAGCCAAUUUUAAAACCUCCCUUUGAACCAGGAACCACCCCUCGGCUGAAAUCCUGGGGUCCUGAUGGACAGCAACAGAGAGCUACUCCGCCCGGUGUCCUGUUUUCUGGCCCACCUGCCAGGGGUUCCACCUUCGCCUUCACUCGAGUAGGCAGCCGCUCUUCAGACUGCAAAGUCAGGGUUGGCUUUGACUCUGAUGAAACCAUUGUGGAUAAGCCACACCCAUUUCCCAGUAGGCUGGCUUCACACCUCCCCCUAAGAGCUUUUCCAGCUCGUUCCCUUUGGGUAACCUGGCAGGCUCCGCACAGUGCCCGUACCCAGUGACAGCUUAAAUGGUUCUGCGAUGACUCAAAGGGGAAACCAUGAGCUGGAACAGAGGAGCUGACAAAGGUGAGAAGCUGACAGAAAAUGGAAGUAGGUGACUGAAACAGGACCAGAACCAUCCUGGCCACUUGGUCUAAAUAAACAGAUUUGACUGGCUUUGCCAAAAUACAGUAAAUUUAGUUUUUUUUUUAAUUUGACAGAGUUAGACAGUGAGAGAGAGAGAGACAGAGAGAAAGGUCUUCCUUUUUCCAUUGGUUCACCCCCAAAAUGGCCGCUAUGGCCGGUGCUGCGCUGAUCCGAAGCCUGGAGCCAGGUGCUUCCUCCUGGUCUCCCAUGCAGGGGAAGGUGCCAAGCACUUGGGCCAUCCUCCACUGCCUUCCUGGGCCACAGCAGAGAGCUGGACUGGAAGAGGGGCAACCAAGACUAGAACCCAGGAACCACAUGGGAUGUCAGCGCCACAGGCAGAGGAUUAGCCAAGUGAGCCACAGCGCCGGCCCCAGUAUAUUCAGUUUCUAGUGAAACUCCAGAUAACAUGCAGAACACCGCUCAGGCAUUCAUUUAUCCAUUAGCCAACUUACUGAAUACUAAGGAUGCGCUUGGGACAAUUUUAAAUGCAGCAUUGUGCCUUACAUCCUAGUUGGAGGGGAGAGCACAGGCAAGUAACAUAAUCAAGAAGUAGAUCAUUUCAUAGAUCAGCAGUAACCAGUGCCAUAGAGAACAAAGCAACUCAUGGGGAAUUGAAUUUGGGGAUGGGGAGAAGCAUGGGUUUCAGGUUUCAUACUGAAUGGACAGGGCAAGCCUCACUAAGGUGAGAUUUAAGUGAAGUCUAGAAGGCAGCAGUUGAGUGAGCCACAGAGUUAGUCAGUGGAAGGGCAAUCCAGUCACGGCAAAGGCCCGAGGAGGGCCGCUUGGUGCCCUCAGGGAAUGGUCCUUGAAGCCAAUGGGGAUGGAACGGAGUCAAGGAGAGGAGGAGCGCUCAGAGAGAGGACAGAGCAGAGGUUGUGCAGGCUUUGAAGGAAGCCAGGAGAAAGCUGUCCCCUCCUGAGAGACGGGGAUGAGCGAUGGGUAGCUGGGGGCGAGCCCUGAAGCGAGGAGAGCCAUCAGGAGGCUGAGGCCAUGGUCCAGAGGAGGGAUCGUGGCGGACUCGGUGAGAGUGAUGGGGACCCUCUCUGGCUGCUACAGUUUGACUGUGUCCUCCAGAUUUCAUGCAUUGGACACACAGUCCCCUAAGUCAUGUGUUCAUGGUGUCUGACAGGUGCGUCAUGGAGAGGUGCGUGGGCCAUGAGAUUCUGCCUUCUUGAACGUCUUAAUUCGCUCGUGGACUGAGGGAGCCAGGGACUGAGAGAGCCGUGGGCUCUCCAGGGAGGGACUUUACAAUAACAGCAAACUCUCUCUCUGACUUGCUCCAUCUCGCCGCAUGAUGCCUGCCACCAUGACACAGGGAAAAGGUCAGUUGGUGAGCAGUCGCCAGUGCACACUCUGGGCCUGCCCAGCCUCCAGACCUGGGAGCCAGACCAACCUCUGUUCUUCAUAAAUGGCCCAGUCUGUGGUGUCCAGCCAGAGCAACAGAAUCCCUGAAGUGACCACAGUUACUAAUCACAGAAUCGGGUGGAUAGUGUUCCUCGUCCUCAUUGAGAAAAAAUUCAGGUGCAUUUCCUGCCUCUCAGAGGUAGCCUGUGUUCAAGCCCCAGUUUGCACGGGGUCUUUACUGGUGCUCCCACCACCCCUGUCUCCCAUACCACAGAUGGCCCAAGUGCUUGGGCCCCAGCACUCACAUUAGAGACCCAUAUGGAGUUCUAGGCUCCUGGCUUCAGCCAGACCCAGCCUUGGCCACUGGGCCAUUUGGGAAGUGAAUCAGCAGAUGGAAGAUUCUCUCUCUCUCUCUUUCUCUAACUCUGCCUUUCAAAUAAAUAAAUAUUUAAAAAACAAAUAGAAUUAGAUCACCCAUCAAUCCAUCAGAGGACAAGGGCCCACUUGCUGGCUGCAGUCCAGGGUUGAUUUCCCCCAAUAUGCUGCAGGAUCACAGUUACUGGAACUCUCGCCUGUGGUGAAUGAGAUGAGCUACAUAUGUAUGGGGGUAACAAAGGCUCUUGAACUUGAAAAAUACAUGAGAAAUAGCAACUUUAAGGACUGUAUAAUUGGUUAGUUUUCUGUAACCUCCAUAGAAUAGCUAAAGAAAACAGACUUUAAAAUAAAGGAACUCAGAGAAUGUUAGCAAAGCCAGAAAGCUCCCUUGUUUAAGGCAUUCUCACCCUGCAGCAAGAGAGCAGGCUUCGCUGAAAACUACUGACGAGGUGCAGUUAUAAUGCAGUAGAGCUUCUGCACUCCUAUUCUGCAUUCAAUUCACGGCCCUGGCAGGUCUGUCACACUGAAGUCAGCGCCUGAUACGGAACGAGUUGCACCUUGAGAUCUGGGAUGUAUUUCAGUGGAUGCAUUUGAAAAUACUUGAGGGGCUGGCGCUGUGACGUAGUGAGUAAAGCUGCCAACCUGCAGUGCCGGCAUCCCAUAUGGCCGCUGGUUCCAGUCCCGGCUGCUCCACUUCUGAUCCAGCUCUCUGCUAUGGCCUGGGAAAGCAGUAGAAGAUGGCCCAAGUCCUUGGGCCCCUGCACACAUGUGGGAGACCUGGAAGAAGAUCCUGGCUCCUGCCUUCAGAUCAGCACAGCUCCGGCCAUUGUGGCCAACUGGGAAGUGAACCAGUGGAUGGAAGACCUCUCUCUCUCUCUCUCUCUCUCUCUCUCUCUCUCUCUCUCUCUCUCUCUCCCUCUCUCUCCCUCUCCUUCUCUAUGUAACUCUGACUUUCAAAUAAAUAAUUCUAAAAAAAGAAAAGAAAAUAUUUGCACUCGAUGCUACUGGGCUAAUAGAUGUGGUCGCCACCUCCUUUUGGGAGGACAGGGGCCUCCCUUUAUCUGGAGACCAUCUAGAAGCCUCACCUAAGACAGAGGCUUCCCAAGAUACUGAGGGUUCUUUCUGAGGACAGCUCAUGCCUGCCCUACGAAGCAGAGUGGGAGAGUGUGGAAAACGGGAAGAAUGUGUAGGUGAAAGAGGAGAGGAGGGAGGGAGAGAGAGGGAGAGAGAGAGAGAAGUGGGAGGGAGGCAGGAAGGGCAGGAGGGGGCGGGGAAGAGAGGGGAAUGCUAGCUGCCAAGCACUGAGCAGUAUAAUUGGCACCACCACUGCCGGACAUCCGGGUACAACAACAUGGGGACCCGGCUGCUUACCGUGGCC
Molecule: non-coding RNA, 5949 nt
Organism: Oryctolagus cuniculus (rabbit)
Lineage: Eukaryota; Metazoa; Chordata; Mammalia; Lagomorpha; Leporidae
Source: RefSeq, a predicted model, not a curated record